RNAcentral lists this transfer RNA (72 nucleotides) under Gemmata algarum. Its description in RNAcentral is "tRNA-Gly". It matches the Rfam family "tRNA". Rfam says of the family: Transfer RNA (tRNA) molecules are approximately 80 nucleotides in length. Their secondary structure includes four short double-helical elements and three loops (D, anti-codon, and T loops). Further hydrogen bonds mediate the characteristic L-shaped molecular structure. tRNAs have two regions of fundamental functional importance: the anti-codon, which is responsible for specific mRNA codon recognition, and the 3' end, to which the tRNAs corresponding amino acid is attached (by aminoacyl-tRNA synthetases). tRNAs cope with the degeneracy of the genetic code in two manners: having more than one tRNA (with a specific anti-codon) for a particular amino acid; and 'wobble' base-pairing, i.e. permitting non-standard base-pairing at the 3rd anti-codon position. Lineage: Bacteria; Pseudomonadati; Planctomycetota; Planctomycetia; Gemmatales; Gemmataceae. The record is from RNAcentral.
GCGUCCGUGGUGUAGUCAGCAACACGCCACUUUGCCACGGUGGCGACGCGGGUGCGACUCCCGCCGGACGCU